GAUGAAGAACGUAGCGAAAUGCGAUAAGUAAUGUGAAUUGCAGAAUUCAGUGAAUCAUCGAAUCUUUGAACGCACAUUGCGCCCGCCAGUAUUCUGGCGAGCAUGCCUGUUCGAGCGUCAUUUCAACCAUCAAGCCCCAGGCUUGUGUUGGAGCCCUGCGGCUGCCGCAGCCUCCCAAAACCAGUGGCGGGCUCGCUAUCACACCGAGUGCAGUAGUUUACUCUUCGCUCAGGGCGUGUGGCGGGUGCUAGCCGUGAAACCCCCAACUUCUCAAGGUUGACCUCGGAUCAGGUAGGAAUACCCGCUGAACUUAAGCAUAUCAAUAAGCGGAGGA
Molecule: unclassified non-coding RNA, 334 nt
Filed under: soil metagenome
Description: partial contains 5.8S ribosomal RNA, internal transcribed spacer 2, and large subunit ribosomal RNA
Rfam family: 5.8S ribosomal RNA (bases 1-120)
Source: RNAcentral